ACGUCUACGAGUUUGAUCCUGGCUCAGGAUGAACGCUAGCGGCAGGCUUAACACAUGCAAGUCGAGGGGCAGCGCGAUGUAGCAAUACAUUGGCGGCGACCGGCGCACGGGUGCGUAACACGUAUGGAACUUACCCUUUACUGGGAGAUAGCCCGGAGAAAUCCGGAUUAAUAUCCCAUAAUAAACGAAGUGGCAUCACUUUGUUUUGAAAGCUCCGGCGGUAAAGGAUGGCCAUGCGCACGAUUAGCUAGUAGGUGAGGUAACGGCUCACCUAGGCUACGAUCGUUAGGGGGCCUGAGAGGGUUAUCCCCCACACUGGUACUGAGACACGGACCAGACUCCUACGGGAGGCAGCAGUGAGGAAUAUUGCGCAAUGGAGGCAACUCUGACGCAGCCAUGCCGCGUGCAGGAAGAAGGCGCUACGCGUUGUAAACUGCUUUUAACCGGGAAGAAACCCUCCGACGUGUCGGAGGUUGACGGUACCGGAGGAAUAAGCACCGGCUAACUUCGUG
RNAcentral lists this ribosomal RNA (512 nucleotides) under uncultured bacterium. RNAcentral describes it as "bacterial SSU rRNA". It matches the Rfam family "Bacterial small subunit ribosomal RNA", at positions 1 to 507 of the family's 1533-position model. The record is from RNAcentral.